Molecule: non-coding RNA, 137 nt
Organism: Nicotiana tabacum (common tobacco)
Lineage: Eukaryota; Viridiplantae; Streptophyta; Magnoliopsida; Solanales; Solanaceae
Source: RefSeq, a predicted model, not a curated record
UAGGGCCACCAUACUCGGAAUCUGUAGGCCGUCAUUGUACAUACUAUCAAGAUUUCACUUAUGACUGUUUUUCUGGUAUGACAGAAGAUGUUAAAGAAGUGAAGGUGGAAGAAGAUGGCACAAGAUAUGCAUGGCUU